AGCGAACGCUGGCGGCAUGCCUAACACAUGCAAGUCGAACGAGAUCUUCGGGUCUAGUGGCGCACGGGUGCGUAACGCGUGGGAAUCUGCCCUUUGGUUCGGAAUAACAGUUGGAAACGACUGCUAAUACCGGAUGAUGACGAAAGUCCAAAGAUUUAUCGCCAGAGGAUGAGCCCGCGUAGGAUUAGCUAGUUGGUGUGGUAAAGGCGCACCAAGGCGACGAUCCUUAGCUGGUCUGAGAGGAUGAUCAGCCACACUGGGACUGAGACACGGCCCAGACUCCUACGGGAGGCAGCAGUGGGGAAUAUUGGACAAUGGGCGAGAGCCUGAUCCAGCAAUGCCGCGUGAGUGAUGAAGGCCUUAGGGUUGUAAAGCUCUUUUACCCGGGAUGAUAAUGACAGUACCGGGAGAAUAAGCUCCGGCUAACUCCGUGCCAGCAGCCGCCGCAG
Molecule: ribosomal RNA, 449 nt
Filed under: uncultured bacterium
Lineage: Bacteria
Description: partial 16S ribosomal RNA
Rfam family: Bacterial small subunit ribosomal RNA
Source: RNAcentral